AGGAUUCCGGACCUGUAGCCCAGGGACAGGGCCACCUGCACAACCAAGUCAGGCUGUGUCCUCAUGUCAGGUCUGGGGACAGGUUGCCAAGAAGAGGAACUGGACUUAUUCUGGGCAACUUGGGUUGGGAUUCUCGCUCCAUUAUACCGCUGGCCAGAGAAUUUGGUCAGCAACAAGAACUACAAGCUGCUGCUGGAAUCUGUGACAAUGAUAAUUUGAUGCCACGCCCAGCCCUUGUCAUUCCUGCUACUUGCUGACCAGUCUCUGUCCUUCUGCUGUAUAGUCGGCUCUUCAACUCGGCCCCAGGAAAAGGAGCACAUCACCAGCCUGUCCCAUCCCACCAAGUGCACCCGAGCCGAUUGCGACAGUCUCCCUGCUUCCCUCAAGAGUCCUGUAUACAGAGGGAACCUUUGUGCCAUAGUCACUGGCUCCUCCUGACUGUCCUCUGGCCUUACCUAUCUGGCAUCUGGGCCCCAACUCUGAGCUGGGACCCUUCAGCCUUGGCUGCACGGCGGGAAAUUCUGAGUUGAAGACGUUCCUGCUUGGCCUCACACACUGCUCACAAAGCCUGACCAGAUGGCACACAGACUGCGGCUAUAGCCUGCCUCGGUUGCUUACCCCAGCCUGGCCACUGUCUGACACUGGCAGGUUCCUCUGUGGCCCCUGUUUUCUCAUGUGUUUCUCAAUAUUUUCUCAUUUCUCAUCCCAUCCAUCCUGGGCAGCGCUGCUCUGAUAACAGGGGAAACUCCACCGCUCGGAAGGCAAAGGGCUGUUCUGAACGCAUGCUAAUCAGAAGGCUAGCUGUUGCUGAGGCCAUCAGCUAUCCUCCCUCCUUCUUAGGCAAGGAAGUCUCUCCUGGGACAACUGGCUGCUGGAGAAACCUCUGUAAGUUCAGCAGAUGAGAACUGAGCCUGGGAAAGCCACUCAAAUGCUUAACCCCCUCAAUUCUCCACACCUGGGGGGGGGGAUCUGGCAACUGCACCCCAGCACCAGGGAGCCCCACCCCACCAUGAACACUAGUAAACCUCACUGUGCUCCAAAGUGGUUUUGCAGACACAGGCUCAAAUAAACUCUCCUCGGUUGGCA
RNAcentral lists this long non-coding RNA (1086 nucleotides) under Mus musculus (house mouse). Its description in RNAcentral is "predicted gene, 57407". Lineage: Eukaryota; Metazoa; Chordata; Mammalia; Rodentia; Muridae. The record is from RNAcentral.